RNAcentral lists this ribosomal RNA (253 nucleotides) under uncultured bacterium. RNAcentral describes it as "partial 16S ribosomal RNA". It matches the Rfam family "Bacterial small subunit ribosomal RNA", at positions 524 to 776 of the family's 1533-position model. The record is from RNAcentral.
UACGUAGGGGGCAAGCGUUGUCCGGAUUUAUUGGGCGUAAAGAGCGUGUAGGCGGUUUGGUAGGUCCGCUGUGAAAACUCGAGGCUCAACCUCGAGACGCCGGUGGAAACCAUCAGACUAGAGUCCGGAAGAGGAGAGUGGAAUUCCUGGUGUAGCGGUGAAAUGCGCAGAUAUCAGGAGGAACACCAAUGGCGAAGGCAGCUCGCUGGGACGGUACUGACGCUGAGACGCGAAAGCGUGGGGAGCAAACAGG